AUCCAGCUGACGAGUCCCAAAUAGCACGAAAGGCACGUCCUGAAU
RNAcentral lists this non-coding RNA (45 nucleotides) under Schistosoma mansoni. The record is from RNAcentral. Lineage: Eukaryota; Metazoa; Platyhelminthes; Trematoda; Strigeidida; Schistosomatidae.